GAGACGAGUGGUGAGCUUAUGGAGGAAGUCGCGACGCCGGUCGGUGAUGCGGGCGUGCACCCGAGCCACCUUCCGCCGGGCCUUCUCCCGGUUGUUGCCGCCCUUGGUCUUGCGGGACGGCUCCCGCUGAGCCUUUGCGAGCCUGCUGCGAUCGCGCCGCUCAUGUCUGGGGUUGGCAACCUUCUCACCCGUGGAGAGGGUGAGAAGGGAGGUGAUGCCCGCAUCCACACCGACCGCGUCAUUCGGUGCCGGGUCGGAGCCGACCACGUCCUCACACGAAAGCGAUACGAACCAGCGACCCGCCGCGUCACGCAUCACGGUCACCGUAGACGGCGUCGACCCCUCUGGCAGGGGACGCGACCACACGAUGUCCAACGGAUCGGCCAUCUUCGCCAGCGUCAGGUAGCCGUUGCGGUAACGGAAUGCGCUGUGGGUGUACUCCGCGGUGGCUCGGGACGUCUUGCGCGACUUGAAACGCGGAUACUUGGCGCGGCCCGCGAAGAAGUUCGAGAACGCGCCUUGGAGAUGCCGCAACGUCUGCUGAAGAGGAACAGAGGGAACCUCGGACAGGAAGUCGAGAUCGUCG
Molecule: non-coding RNA, 586 nt
Filed under: uncultured Nocardiopsis sp.
Lineage: Bacteria; Bacillati; Actinomycetota; Actinomycetes; Streptosporangiales; Nocardiopsidaceae
Source: RNAcentral